This 471-nucleotide ribosomal RNA is filed under the name uncultured bacterium. RNAcentral describes it as "SSU rRNA". It matches the Rfam family "Bacterial small subunit ribosomal RNA", at positions 26 to 518 of the family's 1533-position model. The record is from RNAcentral.
AGAACGAACGCUGGCGGCAUGCCUAACACAUGCAAGUCGAACGCUCUUGGGGCUUCGGUCUCAGGGGAGUGGCGCACGGGUGAGUAGCGCGUGGGAACCUGCCCUGUUGUGGGGGAUAACCGAGGGAAACUUCGGCUAAUACCGCAUAAGCCGGUUGUCUUGAAGGAGAUGGCCGGGAAAGAUUUAUCGCGACAGGAGGGGCCCGCGUCGGAUUAGCUAGUUGGUGGGUAACGGCCCACCAAGGCGGUGAUCCGUAGCUGGUCUGAGAGGAUGAUCAGCCACACUGGGACUGAGACACGGCCCAGACUCCUACGGGAGGCAGCAGUGGGGAAUAUUGGACAAUGGGCGCAAGCCUGAUCCAGCAAUGCCGCGUGAGUGAUGAAGGCCUUAGGGUUGUAAAGCUCUUUCGCCCGCGACGAUGAUGACGGUAGCGGGAGAAGAAGCCCCGGCUAACUUCGUGCCAGCAGCCGC